GAUGAACGCUGGCGGCGUGCCUAAUACAUGCAAGUCGAGCGAACAGACGAGGAGCUUGCUCCUCUGACGUUAGCGGCGGACGGGUGAGUAACACGUGGAUAACCUACCUAUAAGACUGGGAUAACUUCGGGAAACCGGAGCUAAUACCGGAUAAUAUAUUGAACCGCAUGGUUCAAUAGUGAAAGACGGUUUUGCUGUCACUUAUAGAUGGAUCCGCGCCGCAUUAGCUAGUUGGUAAGGUAACGGCUUACCAAGGCAACGAUGCGUAGCCGACCUGAGAGGGUGAUAGGCCACACUGGAACUGAGACACGGUCCAGACUCCUACGGGAGGCAGCAGUAGGGAAUCGUCCGCAAUGGGCGAAAGCCUGACGGAGCAACGCCGCGUGAGUGAUGAAGGUCUUCGGAUCGUAAAACUCUGUUAUUAGGGAAGAACAAAUGUGUAAGUAACUAUGCACGUCUUGACGGUACCUAAUCAGAAAGCCACGGCUAACUACGUG
Molecule: ribosomal RNA, 497 nt
Filed under: uncultured bacterium
Lineage: Bacteria
Description: partial 16S ribosomal RNA
Rfam family: Bacterial small subunit ribosomal RNA
Source: RNAcentral